GAUGAACGCUGACAGAAUGCUUAACACAUGCAAGUCGAGCGAGCGGCGGACGGGUGAGUAAUGUCUGGGAAACUGCCUGAUGGAGGGGGAUAACUACUGGAAACGGAAGCUAAUACCGCAUACCAUCAGAUGUGCCCAGAUGGGAUUAGCUAGUAGGUGGGGGAACGGCUCACCUAGGCGACGCUCCCUAGCUGGUCUGAGAGGAUGACCAGCCACACUGGAACUGAGACACGGUCCAGACUCCGACGGGAGGCAGCAGUGGGGAAUAUUGCACAAUGGGCGCAAGCCUGAUGCAGCCAUGCCGCGUGUGUGAAGAAGGCCUUCGGGUUGGAAAGCACUUUCAGCGGGGAGGCGGUACCUGCAGAAGAAGCACCGGCUAACUCCGUGCCAGCAGCCGCGGUAAUAC
RNAcentral lists this ribosomal RNA (406 nucleotides) under uncultured bacterium. RNAcentral's name for it is "partial 16S ribosomal RNA". It matches the Rfam family "Bacterial small subunit ribosomal RNA", at positions 28 to 526 of the family's 1533-position model. The record is from RNAcentral.